CCUACGGGAGGCAGCAGUCGAGAAUCUUUCACAAUGGGGGAAACCCUGAUGCUGCGACGCCGCGUGGGGGAAUGAAGGUCUUCGGAUUGUAAACUCCUGUCAUGUGGGAGCAAAUUAAAAAGAUAGUACCACAAGAGGAAGAGACGGCUAACUCGGUGCCAGCAGCCGCGGUAAUACAGAGGUCUCAAGCGUUGUUCGGAAUCACUGGGCGUAAAGCGUGCGUAGGCGGUUUCGUAAGUCGUGUGUGAAAGGUGCGGGCUCAACCCGCGGACGGCACAUGAUACUGCGAGACUAGAGUAAUGGAGGGGGAACCGGAAGUCUCGGUGUAGCAGUGAAAUGCGUAGAUAUGGAGAGGAACACUCGUGGCGAAGGCGGGUUCCUGGACAUUAACUGACGCUGAGGCACGAAGGCCAGGGGAGCGAAAGGGAUUAGAUACCCUUGUAGUC
This 446-nucleotide ribosomal RNA is filed under the name uncultured bacterium. Its description in RNAcentral is "partial 16S ribosomal RNA". It matches the Rfam family "Bacterial small subunit ribosomal RNA", at positions 338 to 795 of the family's 1533-position model. The record is from RNAcentral.